RNAcentral lists this ribosomal RNA (363 nucleotides) under uncultured bacterium. Its description in RNAcentral is "bacterial SSU rRNA". It matches the Rfam family "Bacterial small subunit ribosomal RNA", at positions 149 to 507 of the family's 1533-position model. The record is from RNAcentral.
CGGGGAAACUCGAGCUAAUACCGCAUAACAUCUAAGGAUCAAAGUGGGGGAUCUUCGGACCUCACGCCAGAAGAGGAGCCUGCGUUGGAUUAGCUAGUUGGUGGGGUAAUGGCCUACCAAGGCGACGAUCUAUAGCUGGUCUGAGAGGACGAUCAGCCACACUGGAACUGAGACACGGUCCAGACUUCUACGGAAGGCAGCAGUCGGGAAUCUUGGGCAAUGGGCGAAAGCCUGACCCAGCCAUGCCGCGUGUGCGAAGAAGGCCUUAGGGUUGUAAAGCACUUUCAGUCGCGAAGAAAAGCUCGAAGUUAAUAACUUCGAGUCUUGACGUUAACGACAGAAGAAGAUCCGGCUAACUCCGUG